CUGCAACUCGACCACACGAAGCUGGAAUCGCUAGUAAUCGCGAAUCAGCAUGUCGCGGUGAAUACGUUCCCGGGUCUUGUACACGCCGCCCGUCACACCAUGGGAGUCAGCAACGCCCGAAGUCAGUGACCUAACCGAGAGGAAGGAGCUGCCGAAGGCGGGGCAGGUAACUGGGGUGAAGUCGUAACAAGGUAUC
This 196-nucleotide ribosomal RNA is filed under the name uncultured bacterium. RNAcentral describes it as "partial 16S ribosomal RNA". It matches the Rfam family "Bacterial small subunit ribosomal RNA", at positions 1305 to 1500 of the family's 1533-position model. The record is from RNAcentral.